This 230-nucleotide ribosomal RNA is filed under the name uncultured bacterium. RNAcentral describes it as "partial 16S ribosomal RNA". It matches the Rfam family "Bacterial small subunit ribosomal RNA", at positions 563 to 791 of the family's 1533-position model. The record is from RNAcentral.
AAGCGUGCGCAGGCGGUUAUGUAAGACAGAUGUGAAAUCCCCGGGCUCAACCUGGGAACUGCAUUUGUGACUGCAUGGCUAGAGUACGGUAGGAGGGGGAUGGAAUUCCGCGUGUAGCAGUGAAAUGCGUAGAUAUGCGGAGGAACACCGAUGGCGAAGGCAAUCCCCUGGACCUGUACUGACGCUCAUGCACGAAAGCGUGGGGAGCAAACAGGAUUAGAUACCCUAGU